UCCUAAAUAAAAUCAAAACUGUACAAGUAUUCAGCGUAAAAAAAUGAAGAAGAAAGAAAAGAGAUGAGAGAACAUCAGAAUUACAUAUGUUGUUCCAAAUGCCAGACAGGUGAUCCCUAACUAGGAAAGGCAGCCUAUAGCUCAGUUUCUAAUACAACCCUUCAUAUUCUGCCCUUCUCGUUUCUCAACGUGUUCAAUUCUUCAGAAUAAGUAUGCCGUGUUACCAUCGAAUUCCACCUUGCUCAGCACACGAUCUCUUCCUCUUCCUUGGGCCAACUGGUUCAACCAUCUGAAACUGUGUCUGCACAUGAGCUCUAUUAUUUGUGUUUGUGGGUGCGAGGGAGAGAGAGAGAGAGAGAGAGAUGGUAUAGAAGCAUAUAUAAAAGAAGAAUAGAAACAGCGAUAACUAUAACUGCGGGAGCUGCAUAGAAAACAGAGCUUCAGAUCAUGGAUACAAAGCUCCUGGAACUGCACUAGCUGUUUCAUGCCCUGAAGCACAGCAUAAAUUAACUACACAAAUAAAUAAUAGUAUCCCCAAGUUUAGGCGGCGUUACCAAUUAUUUGGAUGGACCAAGGGAAAUGAAGACGAAGAUAUGCAGUGUAUAAUCAAUAUUUGGUUCACAUGAGGAGAUAUAAAGAUGAACAGUGGCAGGCAGUCACAAAAAAUUGAAACCUCUAUCAAUGGAUUCCGCCCACACCGAUCUCCAGAUUAUGGAGCAGGAAAUGAGAAUGUAAGAGACAUACUCAUGCAAGACACAACCAUCAGCAAUUGUCCAUUCAAAUAAAGGCUACCCAACAAGACAAAUAUCCUUUUUGAGAAGUCAAAGUAGGGCGAUGUUCAUAAUUAUUGUCACUAGCAACGUCCCUUGCUAUCAGAACCAGACUUGGAUCGCCUAGAACAGGGGACAAGGAGGUGGAGCAGGUGGGGAUUCAGAGGCAAAUAUAGCCUGAUAUUAAAAAAAAUGUUGGAUAGCAGAUUAGGUGAGAUGUCCAUAAUAAGACUGCCAAUGAUAUCCCUUGAACCCAUGGAUGGAGACAUGCGGCUGACAAUCCUAGAACAGACAGCCCACCAAACCAUACUCUCGGAGAUGCAGAGAACCCACAUAGUCUGAAGGACGCUAAGGAUCAAACCAGGAACCUUCAUGACCCACUUGAACACCAGAGAAGAACCUUCAUGAUCCUCUUGAAAGAGAGCAAGGUGCAGUAUUUUCAAGCCUCCUGUUUAUAGGAUUAACACGAGGCUUCUGAAUGGUCGCUGCUAAAUCUUGCCUAGAAAUCCCAACAGCACUCACAACUCUUAGAAACGGCCAAAUAGUGAAAGAUAUAAAUUUGGGCAUGGUGACCUAC
RNAcentral lists this long non-coding RNA (1347 nucleotides) under Spirodela polyrhiza (greater duckweed). Its description in RNAcentral is "long non-coding RNA (SPOL_LNC002598)". Lineage: Eukaryota; Viridiplantae; Streptophyta; Magnoliopsida; Alismatales; Araceae. The record is from RNAcentral.